UUGUCAAAUAUAAAGAAACUAGAGAUUCUUGAGCUAAAGACAAGAAAAUAAGAAAGAUAAUGAUAAAAGUAAAAAAGGCCUAAUUCUUGCAUCCAUAUAUACUAUAUAACUAAAGAAUUAUGUGGCAACAUUCUAUAGGUUAUUUGACAUGUAUCCAACUUACUAGAUACGUGUCUAACUUGCAAAAAAGUUUCGAAUAUGUGUGCCACAUAACCCACUUAUACUACAAGUAGCCAACAUGUGCAACACGUGUCUAACUUGUUGGCCAAAUUUUCAAUCUAUUAAUUAUCUAAAAAUACUUAUAAAAUUAAUUUGUAUCUAUAAAGCUUCUAAAAAGCUUAUUUAUAAGUGUCACGGACACAAAAUACAGACUUGAAAUCUAACAAGAAGUUCAAGAAAAAGUGGCAGAACUAGAUUAAACAGAUGAAUACAAGAACAACACCAGAAAGGUGAGCUAGAACUCCAAGAGAUGUGUUGUCGAGACUGAAGAACUCUUCAACCUCGAUCCCUAUAUAUACUCCUACUUAGGAAGCUUCUCAAGCUACUUCUAUUAACUAGGAAGCUUCUAGAAGGUUCUAGAGGCUUCCUUUCUAGAAGGUUCUAGAAACUUCUCGAG
Molecule: long non-coding RNA, 616 nt
Filed under: Physcomitrium patens
Lineage: Eukaryota; Viridiplantae; Streptophyta; Bryopsida; Funariales; Funariaceae
Description: long non-coding RNA (PPAT_LNC013467)
Source: RNAcentral